This 250-nucleotide ribosomal RNA is filed under the name uncultured bacterium. Its description in RNAcentral is "partial 16S ribosomal RNA". It matches the Rfam family "Bacterial small subunit ribosomal RNA", at positions 524 to 773 of the family's 1533-position model. The record is from RNAcentral.
UACGUAGGGGGCGAGCGUUGUCCGGAUUUAUUGGGCGUAAAGAGCGCGUAGGCGGUGCGUUAAGUCUGUGGUGAAAUCUCCCGGCUCAACUGGGAGGGUGCCGUGGAUACUGGCGUGCUGGAGGACGGCAGAGGAAGGUGGAAUUCCCGGUGUAGUGGUGAAAUGCGUAGAGAUCGGGAGGAACACCAGUGGCGAAAGCGGCCUUCUGGGCCGGUCCUGACGCUGAGGCGCGAAAGCUAGGGGAGCAAAC